UGGUUUUGUUAUUCUUAUACAAUAUUGUACAUUUACUCAUUUAUACAAUAAUUCACAUAUUAACAAGUCUGAAAAAUGAAGAUAAGGAAGAUGAGGCCACUUUUUAUUUAAACUUAUAAAAAAGAAAAUAUUUCAAACUCAAGAGUUUAAAGGGAAAUCAGAUUUUUAUAAGAAACUAAUAAAUAAAUAAAUAAAUAAAUGAAAGAUUUCAGUUUGUGUUUGACUCUUCAAAUUUCAGCAAACUCAUAAAAAAAGAGGAAGGGACAUCACAGCUCACCAAAACAAACCCGUGGACCACAAAGGGUCAGCUUGCUGUGAACCGAUGAAUAGGAACAAUCCUUUUUCAAUUUCCGUUAUGCAGCAGCACUGAAUUCUGGGAGGGUGUGGCCAUGGAAACACAAAUGUAUGACUCACCAAUCAGUAAUUGAUCACAGUGGCAACCAUGGUUACACGUUUCUUAAGAGACGACGUGGUGAUUUAACAAUAAGAGCCUUCACAUACACCGUUCUUAUUUUGUAAAUACUAACAAUACCCAGGAGCCUCAGCUGAUAUUGCCAUGGAGACAAGGCCGCAAUGUUCCUGAAGGGUUCUACAAAGGGUUACCUUUAGCUUCUUAAAGCUCUUUGUUGAUGAGAUGCAUCUUGGGGGUUGAAGCAUUUUCUGAAUCCGGGAUUCAAGAUUAAAGACCCUAACCUGACAAUCAACCUGUGUGGGACAGCAGCAGGUGGGCGGGGCUUCAUUCUGGUACAAUGUUAAUGAGUUGAAGUAAUGAUUUUUCAUUUUGUCGGAUCAUUUUCUGAAACAAAUGAAAAUUUGAAAAAAAUCAAUAAAAAACUAUUUAAAAAAGAAAUGUUCGUAAAUGUGUGUCUGUGUGAGCAAGAAUAAAGGGGGAACAGUCUGAGUACUGGAGGGAAACAGACACGGUGAGAUGUCAAUGGUAAAGAUCCUCUAUCACACCGAAACCAAAAGUCCUGAAAGAAUCCCUGAACGCUGAUCUGAAGUCAGCACUGGGCUGCAGGAAGCUGAUUUGUUAACAUGCGGCGCAGUAACUGAAAAGGGGCGGGGCAAACGCAGAGAGGAGCCAAUCAUCACAGGUGCUGCCAGUCGAUGGCUACCAGCGUUUGAUUGGCCUCCUGAGCGUGACCUAUGACCUCAGCGAUGCCGUGCUGACGCCACAGACGCUCAAUCUUCCUGUAGCGCUCAACGCAGAGGUGGAGGGGGUUCCCCCGCCUGCAGGUAAACAAACAAACUAAUCAAUAAAUCAAUAAACAAAAGGUGGAGGGGGUUCCCCCGCCUGCAGGUAAACAAACAAACUAAUCAAUAAAUCAAUAAACAAAAGGUGGAGGGGGUUCCCCCGUCAGUAGGUAAACAAACAAACUAAUCAAUAAAUCAAUAAACAAAAGGUGGAGGGGGUUCCCCCGUCAGUAGGUAAACAAACAAACUAAUCAAUAAAUCAAUAAACAAAAGGUGGAGGGGGUUCCCCCGUCAGUAGGUAAACAAACAAACUAAUCAAUAAAUCAAUAAACAAAAGGUGGAGGGGGUUCCCCCGUCAGUAGGUAAACAAAUAAACUAAUCAAUAAAUAAAUAAACAAAGGGAGGGGGUUCCUCUGCCUGCAGGUAAACAAACAAACUAAUCAAUAAAUCAAUAAACAAAGGGAGGGGGUUCCCCGCCUGCAGGUAAACAAACCGAUCACUAUAGGAAAGCACCUACUUGAGGCCCUGGUCCGUCUCCCCGUAGUCGUCCAGGUACGGAGGAGGAUAGAAGCAGCCCUUUGUUUUACCUGCUACAAACAGCACCUGACUUUCUCUUACCCUGCACGCAACACACACAGACACACACACAGACACACAGUCAGAGUGUGUACAGUGUACAGUGUGUAGUGUGUGCAUCUGCAGUAGAGCACAGGGCCCCGUUCCUCGUACGUGGCUAGCUGCGUUAGCCGGAUAAGAUGACAAGGAUCAGGCUUUUCGGUUCAAAUCACCACAGCAACACAUCC
This is a long non-coding RNA of Gasterosteus aculeatus aculeatus (three-spined stickleback), 1997 nucleotides long. The record is from Ensembl. NCBI's taxonomy places the organism in Eukaryota, Metazoa, Chordata, Actinopteri, Perciformes, Gasterosteidae.